Molecule: ribosomal RNA, 253 nt
Filed under: uncultured bacterium
Lineage: Bacteria
Description: partial 16S ribosomal RNA
Rfam family: Bacterial small subunit ribosomal RNA
Source: RNAcentral
UACGUAGGGUGCGAGCGUUAAUCGGAAUUACUGGGCGUAAAGCGUGCGCAGGCGGUUUUGUAAGCCAGAUGUGAAAUCCCCGGGCUCAACCUGGGAAUUGCAUUCGAGACUGCAUUGCUGGAGUACGGAAGAGGAGGGCGGAAUUCCCGGUGUAGCGGUGAAAUGCGUAGAUAUCGGGAGGAACAUCAGUGGCGAAGGCGGCCCUCUGGUCCAGUACUGACACUCAAGUGCGAAAGCGUGGGGAGCAAACAGG